RNAcentral lists this ribosomal RNA (412 nucleotides) under uncultured bacterium. Its description in RNAcentral is "bacterial SSU rRNA". It matches the Rfam family "Bacterial small subunit ribosomal RNA", at positions 355 to 759 of the family's 1533-position model. The record is from RNAcentral.
UAGGGAAUAUUGGACAAUGGGGGCAACCCUGAUCCAGCCAUGCCGCGUGAGUGAAGAAGGCCCUCGGGUUGUAAAGCUCUUUUGUCCGGAAAGAAAAGCUUCGGGUUAAUACCCCGGGGUUCUGACGGUACCGGAAGAAUAAGCACCGGCUAACUUCGUGCCAGCAGCCGCGGUAAUACGAAGGGUGCAAGCGUUACUCGGAAUUACUGGGCGUACAGCGUGCGUAGGUGGUUGUUUAAGUCUGAUGUGAAAGCCCUGGGCUCAACCCGGGAAUGGCCUUGGAAACUGGGCGGCUAGAGUGCGGUAGAGGGUAGUGGAAUUCCCGGUGUAGCAGUGAAAUGCGUAGAGAUCGGGAGGAACAUCUGUGGCGAAGGCGACUGCCUGGACCAGCACUGACACUGAGGCACGAAAG